Sinocyclocheilus rhinocerous is the source of this 321-nucleotide long non-coding RNA. RefSeq lists it as uncharacterized. The record is from RefSeq and is a predicted model, not a curated record. The transcript has 2 exons. Lineage: Eukaryota; Metazoa; Chordata; Actinopteri; Cypriniformes; Cyprinidae.
UUUUUUUCAUUGUUGCUGCAGGUUGUUUUUAAAGUCUGCGGGUUGAAGUGACCUCACUAAUGCGAGACCUAAGACCAUUUUCAAACAGCAUAGUUCAUGGGAAAAUUAAGAAAGCAUUCACAAACAAACUAACAAUUGAUGCUAAUUGCUGUCUCAUCUGUUUCUGUGUUCCAGUGCCUGGUGUUCUAAGGUUUGCUUCCUGGCUUGAUGGAUGAAGCUUUAGAGCAAAUUUACAAAAAAAUGUUCAACAAAAUUUGCUUAAAUGAACAAAAAUAAAAUCACCAACCGAUAUCGUAAUCGGCCAAUUUUGCUUGGAGAGGG